AACAUUUUAUUUUUACUGUCAUUUUUUAGGUGCUGUGGUCAUUACUGCAGUGUUUCUUGUUAGUGUCUUAGGACUCUUUGGUGGGUUUUGUAUCUCUAUGGCUUGUAUAGCAGUUUUCACAGAUAUUUUUAGGACAUAUCGAGAAAGAGGUGCAAAUCGUUGCUCGUUUUGCUGCUCAUCUGAAAGCGCUACAGGUCAGGCAUGCCAAUCUUGUUGCUAGAAUUUCCAUCUACUGAGAUGUCUGAAGUACAGUAUUAAACUUACAUGACCAUGCAUCUGAAGCCAUUCUUCAAAGAAAAUCUAAACAAUCGUAUAGAUAAAUAAAAUGACUAGAUGUAUUUCAUAUGUUUUUCACCCGAAUUACGUUCUUCAUUUGUUUUCUCCUGUAUUUGGUGUUUUUGCAAAAAUAAAAUAUCAUAUACUU
Long non-coding RNA from Stegodyphus dumicola, 424 nucleotides. Lineage: Eukaryota; Metazoa; Arthropoda; Arachnida; Araneae; Eresidae. The record is from RefSeq and is a predicted model, not a curated record.